Long non-coding RNA from Diorhabda carinulata, 283 nucleotides. RefSeq lists it as uncharacterized. Lineage: Eukaryota; Metazoa; Arthropoda; Insecta; Coleoptera; Chrysomelidae. The transcript is spliced from 2 exons. The record is from RefSeq and is a predicted model, not a curated record.
AUAACAGUUACACUACUUACUAGAUGAAUUCAAAACGGUGAAUUAAUGAUAAUAUAUAGAUUAGUUCAUGAUUGUUUAUAUUGCGCAAUCAAAAUAAAUUGCGUGGUCAAUAUUUUUCUACACGUGAAGAAGCGGUUGGUUGAUGCCUUCAAAUCACAUAAUCUGGAGGUACCUCAAUCGAAAUGGAAAAAAUGCUUCGGAAAUUAGUCCAAGCGCAUGCAAAAGUGUAUUGAUCUCAAUGGAGACUAUUUGGUAAAACAAUAAAGCCAUAUCCAGUUAUAAA